UUCCCCACUUUCUAUGGGAGUGCAUUUGGAAAGGCUUCGUAAAGGGAGUUUCCUCCCCAUCACAGAGGAAGGAUUAUGCUACCCAGAAACUGAAAACAGAACAGAUGCCAUUAAGCAAAUAUAUCAGCAACAACUGUACAUACCCAUAACACACCCACAGAGAGGGAAAGUUGUAGUAGCACCAUCCUCUGCAAACAUCCUCGCCCACAGGUCCACUGGGAAGACAGGCCAACCCAGAGGUGCCAGAGGAGGAGCUUGGCAACCUACAAGAUGCAAGAUAACCAGGAGAAACCUACCAUUUUGAGCAGCAAUAAACAAAGAGCGGUGCAGGGUGUUUACAACUAAGAGGAGCUGGACGAAUAAGGAAUGCAGCCGAUUGUGUGCAGUUCUCCAUGCUUGAAACUUCCAGGAGCUUCUUGUCGCAGCAGUUGGCAGAAAGGUAACAGAUUACCAGAAAAGGAAGAAGAGGAAAAGGAGAGAGAAGCCAAAGAAGGGAAGGAAGAAAUGCAGGAGAAAAAGCCAUCACCUAGACGAUGCCACAGAGAUCAACCUCUUGAGGAUGAUCGAUGUAUCAAGCAAGGAAAGUCAGAAGAAAGUGAGGGGUCAGCAGGGAGAAAUGACUCAAGAAAGACUAGGAAGGAGGAAAAGGCCGCCAGAUGAAAUCCGGACCAAGGAAGACGACAUCCAGGAAACAUUCUGAGCUCAAAAGGAAUCCCAGACUUCACCGAGUGGCCAAACUAUCCUCUGCAUCAUUGUCUGCUCAGAAGUAGAAACGGCGAAGAGACUUGUGACACCUUAAAGACUACAUCUCUGGAAAUUGUAGCUCAGAAGUUAGCCUCAUUGUGUUCAGUGGGAUCUGCUCCCAGUCCUUAGUGCACAAGGAUGGAAGAAUGAGGAAAUCCCAAUGGAAGAACAGUGGCAAGAAAGACUGAUGAGCUAUGCGGAACUGGCUAAAUUGACAUAUAAACUGCGUGACAAGGACAACCCUGACUUCAAGGAAGAAUGGGAACUUUUCGCCAACUAUCUAAAAAGACAGCAAAAUGAAUUGGACUCCUUGGCAGGUUUU
Podarcis raffonei (Aeolian wall lizard) is the source of this 1066-nucleotide long non-coding RNA. RefSeq lists it as uncharacterized. The transcript has 3 exons. The record is from RefSeq and is a predicted model, not a curated record. Lineage: Eukaryota; Metazoa; Chordata; Lepidosauria; Squamata; Lacertidae.